UGGGGAAUAUUGGACAAUGGGCGCAAGCCUGAUCCAGCCAUGCCGCGUGAGUGAUGAAGGCCUUAGGUUGUAAAGCUCUUUCGCCGGUGAAGAUAAUGACGGUAACCGGAGAAGAAGCCCCGGCUAACUUCGUGCCAGCAGCCGCGGUAAUACGAAGGGGGCUAGCGUUGCUCGGAAUCACUGGGCGUAAAGCGCACGUAGGCGGAUCGUUAAGUCAGGGGUGAAAUCCUGGAGCUCAACUCCAGAACUGCCCUUGAUACUGGCGAUCUCGAGUUCGAGAGAGGUUGGUGGAGCUCCGAGUGUAGAGGUGAAAUUCGUAGAUAUUCGGAAGAACACCAGUGCGAAGGCGGCCAACUGGCUCGAUACUGACGCUG
This 374-nucleotide ribosomal RNA is filed under the name uncultured bacterium. RNAcentral's name for it is "partial 16S ribosomal RNA". It matches the Rfam family "Bacterial small subunit ribosomal RNA", at positions 355 to 748 of the family's 1533-position model. The record is from RNAcentral.